GUAAUGAAAAAGGAAAAAAUCUACAAUUAUAUUUCUUUGAUAGUGAAAAUGAAGUGAGCAAUCGAAUGGCAUGUUCUGAUACAUUGAACUACUGUACUAUGAAAAAUUUAAUGAAAAUAUUAAAAACCAAAAACCAAUCCUUACUCUACGUUUUUGAAAUCCUUAAUAAAUAUCCCACAAUUAUCAGAUUUCUACAUUGCGCUCAAGUGUAAUGCUGGUCUAGACCAACAAAUAUACAACUUACCAACUACGUCAGAAGUGGCAGGGAUAUGGGUAGAACAAGAUACCAAUAAUUGUAUCCCUACGCCACAUAUCCGAAUAUUCCUACGCCACAUAUCCGAAUAUAUACAAAAAGUGAUAGAAGCCAACUGUAAACUAUUACAAAACAGUUCUACAACAACUAUUUCCGAUGAGCAUGCGGAAAAAAUAUUGCUCCUCACUUCGGAAGAGGUUUAUGAUAUCUGUAAUGUCAAGGUAUAUUCCGUUACAUGAAUUACAUCAUCAUAUAACAAGCUAUUAAUUCUGACUCCCGCUAUCUCAUCACUAUUCAUUAUGAUAUGAAGCACAUCAUAGAAUGUGUGAUUAGUUCUACCCUCCAUUCCAACAUAGACCAAUAGGAUUCAACGAUAUCCUUCAACCAAAAUCUUCAGUGUGGUGCAAAUAAACAAAACCACACUUUGGUUGUAGCUAUUGAUAAAGCUAAUGGAAUGUAGCAUCUUAUCCAUACUAUUUACAUUUUGUUUGCAAACAAUCUUGUUUCAUUCCGAGUAGAGAAACAAGAGCACCCACACACAACCAGCAAAGACAAUGCUUCCUACAACAAAUGUAAUGUGGAAAUGAAUAUUUCCCCUCCGAAAAACAGCUGAGAGGUAUUUGAAAUUUCUGUUCCUUCUAAAUUUAAUAUGAGAUUCAACUUUGUAGAAAAGACAGACAACUUAAACUACUAUCAUUUGUUAGCACUUUUGCCACUGAAACAACUUUUGCUACUAUUUUGGGAUGCAAGUGAAGCCACAUCUUGCUGUUGCUUUUGAAUGCGGUUAAGCUCACUUUUGCGACUGCUUUCUGGAUGUUCCUCUACUCGGAAUAUGUCGGCGACAUGAGAUAUUUUUGGUCAAGAACUACUAGAAAAAAGACCAGA
Nicotiana tabacum (common tobacco) is the source of this 1138-nucleotide non-coding RNA. The record is from RefSeq and is a predicted model, not a curated record. Lineage: Eukaryota; Viridiplantae; Streptophyta; Magnoliopsida; Solanales; Solanaceae.